RNAcentral lists this ribosomal RNA (273 nucleotides) under uncultured bacterium. Its description in RNAcentral is "partial 16S ribosomal RNA". It matches the Rfam family "Bacterial small subunit ribosomal RNA", at positions 524 to 796 of the family's 1533-position model. The record is from RNAcentral.
UACGUAGGGUGCGAGCGUUAAUCGGAAUUACUGGGCGUAAAGCGUGCGCAGGCGGUUUUGUAAGACAGAUGUGAAAUCCCCGGGCUUAACCUGGGAACUGCGUUUGUGACUGCGAGACUGGAGUGCGGCAGAGGGGGGUGGAAUUCCACGUGUAGCAGUGAAAUGCGUAGAGAUGCGGAGGAACACCGAUGGCGAAGGCAACCCCCUGGGUCGACACUGACGCUCAUGCACGAAAGCGUGGGUACCAAACAGGAUCAGAUACCCGCGUAGUCC